This 571-nucleotide ribosomal RNA is filed under the name Leucosporidium sp. RNAcentral's name for it is "LSU rRNA". It matches the Rfam family "Eukaryotic large subunit ribosomal RNA", at positions 99 to 667 of the family's 3401-position model. Lineage: Eukaryota; Fungi; Basidiomycota; Microbotryomycetes; Leucosporidiales; Leucosporidiaceae. The record is from RNAcentral.
CGGGAAGAGCUCAAAUUUGUAAUCUGGCACUUUCAGUGUCCGAGUUGUAAUCUCGAGAAGUAUUUUCCGCGCCGGACCGCAUACAAGUCUGUUGGAAUACAGCGUCAUAGUGGUGAGAACCCCGUAACUGAUGCGGAUGCCCGGUGCUUUGUGAUAUACUUUCGAAGAGUCGAGUUGUUUGGGAAUGCAGCUCAAAUUGGGUGGUAAAUUCCAUCUAAAGCUAAAUAUUGGAGCAAGACCGAUAGCGAACAAGUACCGUGAGGGAAAGAUGAAAAGCACUUUGGAAAGAGAGUUAACAGUACGUGAAAUUGUUGGAAGGGAAACGCUUGAAGUCAGACUUGCUAUUCGGAGUUCAGCCGCAAGGUGUAUUCUUCGAUUUGCAGGCCAGCAUCAGUUUUUGGGGGUGGAAAAUCGUGGUUUGAAGGUAGCAGUUUCGGCUGUGUUAUAGCUUUCCACUGGAUUCAUCUUCGGGGACUGAGGAACGCAGUACGCUUUUUGCAAGGCUUUCGAGCUUUUCGUACUUAGGAUGCUGGUGGAAUGGCUUUAAACGACCCGUCUUGAAACACGGACC